GACGAACGCUGGCGGCGUGCUUAACACAUGCCAGUCGAACGGUGAAGCGCCUUCCUUUUUGGUGGGUGUGGAUGAGUGGCGAACGGGUGGGUAACACGUGAGUAACCUGCCCCCUUCUUCUGGAUAACCGCAUGAAAGUGUGGCUAAUACGGGAUAUUCUGGGUCUGUCGCAUGAUGGGUCUGGGAAAGAUAUUGUUUCGGUGGGGGAUGGGCUCGCGGCCUAUCAGCUUGUUGGUGGGGUGAUGGCCUACCAAGGCGGUGACGGGUAGCCGGCCUGAGAGGGUGGACGGUCACACUGGGACUGAGACACGGCCCAGACUCCUACGGGAGGCAGCAGUGGGGAAUAUUGCACAAUGGGCGCAAGCCUGAUGCAGCGACGCCGCGUGAGGGAUGGAGGCCUUCGGGUUGUGAACCUCUUUCGCCAGUGAAGCAGGCCUGCCUCGUUUGUGGGUGGGUUGACGGUAGCUGGAUAAGAAGCGCCGGCUAACUACGUG
This 494-nucleotide ribosomal RNA is filed under the name uncultured bacterium. RNAcentral's name for it is "partial 16S ribosomal RNA". It matches the Rfam family "Bacterial small subunit ribosomal RNA", at positions 28 to 507 of the family's 1533-position model. The record is from RNAcentral.